This 253-nucleotide ribosomal RNA is filed under the name uncultured bacterium. Its description in RNAcentral is "partial 16S ribosomal RNA". It matches the Rfam family "Bacterial small subunit ribosomal RNA", at positions 524 to 776 of the family's 1533-position model. The record is from RNAcentral.
UACGGAGGGUGCAAGCGUUAAUCGGAAUUACUGGGCGUAAAGGGCUCGUAGGCGGCCAACUAAGUCAGACGUGAAAUCCCUCGGCUUAACCGGGGAACUGCGUCUGAUACUGGAUGGCUUGAGUUUGGGAGAGGGAUGCGGAAUUCCAGGUGUAGCGGUGAAAUGCGUAGAUAUCUGGAGGAACACCGGUGGCGAAGGCGGCAUCCUGGACCGGUACUGACGCUGAGGAGCGAAAGCGUGGGGAGCAAACAGG